This 581-nucleotide ribosomal RNA is filed under the name Alexandrium ostenfeldii. RNAcentral's name for it is "LSU rRNA". It matches the Rfam family "Eukaryotic large subunit ribosomal RNA", at positions 77 to 609 of the family's 3401-position model. Lineage: Eukaryota; Dinophyceae; Gonyaulacales; Pyrocystaceae. The record is from RNAcentral.
CCUUAAGUAAUUGCGAAUGAACAAGGAACUGCUCAGCUUGAAAAUUGGGGCCUUCGGCCUUGAAUUGUAAUUUUGAAAUGUAUUGCCAAUGGAGGCGCAGGUGCAAGCCUAUUGAAAGAAAGCGUCAAUGAGGGUGAGAUUCCUUUUUGUCAUUUGCAGUCCUCCGUGCACGGUAUAUAUUUGACGAGUCACACUCCUUGGCAUUGGAAUGCAAAGUGGGUGGUAAAUUCCAUGUAAAGGAAAAUAUAUUAUUGAGACUGAUAGCAAACAAGUACCAUGAGGGAAAUAUGAAAAGGACUUUGAAAAGAGAAUUAAAAGAGUCUGCAUUUGCUGAACAGAAAGCAAACAGAAUUGAUCUACUUGGUGAGAUUGUUGCGUCCACUUGUGGGUGCAAUGGUUCUUGCCUUGAAUGUCAGCGUCUAUUUCUGCAAAUUAUUACCCUUGCAUAUGAAUUGUAAUUUGCCUGUGGGCAUUGGAAUGCAUGUGUUUGCAAUGAUUUGUGAUUUGAUACAUGUGUCUGGUGUUCGCGUGUGUGCCUUCUUGCUAACACGGGGAGGGCUCUCCUCCCUGGGCACUGCAUG